This 255-nucleotide ribosomal RNA is filed under the name Paenibacillus jamilae. Its description in RNAcentral is "partial 16S ribosomal RNA". It matches the Rfam family "Bacterial small subunit ribosomal RNA", at positions 882 to 1136 of the family's 1533-position model. Lineage: Bacteria; Bacillati; Bacillota; Bacilli; Caryophanales; Paenibacillaceae. The record is from RNAcentral.
ACGGUCGCAAGACUGAAACUCAAAGGAAUUGACGGGGACCCGCACAAGCAGUGGAGUAUGUGGUUUAAUUCGAAGCAACGCGAAGAACCUUACCAGGUCUUGACAUCCCUCUGACCGGUCUAGAGAUAGGCCUUUCCUUCGGGACAGAGGAGACAGGUGGUGCAUGGUUGUCGUCAGCUCGUGUCGUGAGAUGUUGGGUUAAGUCCCGCAACGAGCGCAACCCUUAUGCUUAGUUGCCAGCAGGUCAAGCUGGGC